UAUUUAGAUGUGAUGAAGUAUACUCUUUAUUUGGGCACUUUAGAGUAUAUGGAGCAAGUAGUGCAACCGGCUAAAU
Molecule: non-coding RNA, 76 nt
Filed under: Romboutsia timonensis
Lineage: Bacteria; Bacillati; Bacillota; Clostridia; Peptostreptococcales; Peptostreptococcaceae
Description: Cyclic di-GMP-II riboswitch
Rfam family: Cyclic di-GMP-II riboswitch aptamer
Source: RNAcentral